RNAcentral lists this long non-coding RNA (2467 nucleotides) under Camponotus floridanus (Florida carpenter ant). RNAcentral's name for it is "uncharacterized LOC105250090, transcript variant X2". The record is from RNAcentral. Lineage: Eukaryota; Metazoa; Arthropoda; Insecta; Hymenoptera; Formicidae.
UACAAAAUUUCGCAAUCCAAUUAUUUAUCAGCAUUAUUACCGUGACAUUGCACAAGGGAGCUCAAACAUAGAGAGAGAGAGAGAGAGAGAGAGAGAGAGAGAGACUCGCGUGAGAAAAGUAUACAUCUGCCUAAAGUGUACUCAAAUACAAAAACGUGUCGAUUAAUCGGAGAAAACCGUCAUCGUCUUCGAGAUCCCUACAUCAAACAGCAGAUGUAAUAAAUGCAUAAAUAAAUUGCAUAACAGAUUAAUUCUUGGAAGAUUGAAUAAUAUCUCGGCGUAACAAAUAGUUGAAAUCAAUCUCGAUAGUUUCGGCCGUUAUCGAAGGCUUGUAAUCUGGUUUCAUCUCGAGGCAGCCUGAAUCGAAGACUGAAUCGGAGGUUUCAUGCGGCGCAAGUAAAUCGAAGAGAUGGAGUGAUUGGUAAAUUUGACCCGACUUCCCUCUCCAUCUCUCUCUCUGUCUCUUUAGAUAACUCGGCCACGUGUAGUCUGUAUAUCACAGUGUCCUGGGGACGAAAUGCGCCAAACAUUAUUUAUCGAGCCCGGAACCAGGAAUACACACCCCGGCGACGAGAUAACAAAGAUAGUCCACUGAUGACCGGCCGCUCCUUCGCGGGAAGGAAAUACGACGUUUUGCGCAAGAACGUCGAUUGAUGCGCGACGCAAAAGCCUCGGAAAUUCGCGCAAGCCACGCGAUGACGGCGGAAAUUUCCCCGCGUCGGCGUCGGCGGAUUAUCAUUUUCCGCGAGGUUGAUAGGGCAAUUAUAACGCCGCUUUGCAAAAUCAUUUCCGGCCAAUUGAGACGGCCGGUAGACGCGGCAUGAGAAUCACUGCAGGGCCGCUUCGACAAGCGCAGCUGUAAAUCGAAGAAGCCGUCUGGCUUCUAAUUUUAUUGCGCGACAGAAUGGGAAUGAAUCUCGGCGCUGCAGCCGAGUGCAUUGGAUUUUGCCUCUCUUGUAAAGGGCGAUAUUAAAAUCUCCAAUCUGCGGAUCGUGAUUCGCCUGUCUGUGCAGCUUCCCGGGACUCGGUACAUUGCUCUGACAUAAAAGAAAUUCAUUGCGUUUCAGACGGGACACAGACCUAUGCAGUAUUAAUAGGCUACAUCCGAAGAAACGUUUUCUUUCUAAUAAUUUUUAAAUAAUAUCUGAAAUUUAUGAAUGACAGAUUGUACGUCUGGAUCGAUGAAAGAAGUAAACGCUCUUUGCCGCGGAAAAAAAAUUCAUUGCGUUUCAGAUGUGAUGGGACACAGACCUAUGUAGCAUUAAUAGACUACAUCCGAAGAAACGUUUUCUUUCUAAUAAUUUUUAAAUAUCUGAAAUUUAUGAAUGACCGAUUAUACGUCUGGAUCGAUGAAAGAAGUAAACGCUCUUUGCCACGUGAUAUUUAGAAACACCGAUUAAAUAUACAUAAACAAGCGCGAUAAAAACCAUGAAAGUAACAUUUCCUGUCCUCGAUCCGACCAAAGUCCGAGAUGUAUUUCAAUGGAAAGGACGCGUAUAUCGUUUUCUCGGUUUUGUUGCACGAUCGAACGUAAUAUAAUCAAUUACUUUAGUUAGAUCUCUUCUAUUCUCGUCUUAAAAGCUUCGUUGCCCUAUUUGUAUCUCUUGGCCUUUGAUAACGAUCUCUCGCCGGAGAAUGAAAGAUUGUCGAUAAAUGAGAAUAAAAGGCAAAUGUGCGGACAAUCGCCCUUGUUCGAUUCUCGCUUACGCGAGAAUCAGACGCGGCGUAAAUUUUCGCCGACGAGGCGAAUCGAUUCGACACUUUGAAUUCGCGAUGCAACGCAUCCGGUGUCACGCGAUCCAGAUCGACGUGAUUAUUACGUAACAUAUUUGCCUUUCUUCCCGGAAAGACCAACAUCGGAAUUACAAAAUUUCAAUCCCGGAUCUCUCUAUCAAACUUUUAUUUUUUAAUUGCACGAAAUAUUUUAUAUAUUUAUAUAAAAUAAUAUCUCGUAAGAUGAACUUUUAUCGAUGAAUAUUAUUUUCUUUUUUUCGUACAUUUUUAAUUUUGUAACGCGUAAUGGAAUUUUUGAUAUCAACGAAAAGAUGAUGUAAAUCUUUAGUAAACAGCAAUGUUGAUUUAAGGUUAAAUGACAAGUCCUUUUCUCCUGAUCUCAUAAGUCAACGAAAGGUAAGAUACGAUGGCAUAAUCACGUUGAGAAAGCAGUUAUUUGCAGCUUGUGACGUAAGAAAUAUCGGUUAUUUGCAACUAAGCUCUUUAAAUCGCUGAAAAUCGCAAAAUAGGGCAAGAUGCGAACGCGUAUCGCAUGACCGAUAAGAUUUCAAAAAAUUGCUCGUUAUUUACAGAAAAAUCAAAAGCUGUUACUUUAUCGUCAUGCGACACUCAGCGGUAUUUGAUAAAAAUUAUACUAUCGCUUAUAACCAGGGAAAAAAAGAAAGAGAAAGACGGCAAAAUAACCCUAUUUAUCUUGCAAAGAAGAUGCGUCUGUAUCAAUCGAAAUAAAAAA